GACGAACGCUGGCGGCGUGCUUAACACAUGCAAGUCGAACGGAAAGGCCCUGCUUUUGUGGGGUGCUCGAGUGGCGAACGGGUGAGUAACACGUGAGUAACCUGCCCUUGACUUUGGGAUAACUUCAGGAAACUGGGGCUACUACCGGAUAGGAGCUCCUGCUGCAUGGUGGGGGUUGGAAAGUUUCGGCGGUUGGGGAUGGACUCGCGGCUUACCAGCUUGUUGGUGGGGUAGUGGCUUACCAAGGCUUUGACGGGUAGCCGGCCUGAGAGGGUGACCGGCCACAUUGGGACUGAGAGACGGCCCAGACGCCUACGGGAGGCAGCAGUGGGGAAUAUUGCACAAUGGGCGGAAGCCUGAUGCAGCAACGCCGCGUGCGGGAUGACGGCCUUCGGGGUGUAAACCGCUUUCGCCUGUGACGAAGCGUGAGUGACGGUAAUGGGUAAAGAAGCACCGGCUAACUACGUG
Molecule: ribosomal RNA, 468 nt
Filed under: uncultured bacterium
Lineage: Bacteria
Description: partial 16S ribosomal RNA
Rfam family: Bacterial small subunit ribosomal RNA
Source: RNAcentral